CACUCUCCACACCUAACAUGCUCCUCCAAGGAAACCAAAACUCUACGUGAGCUCACUGUUCAUCUUCCUUCAUUGAUGCUUCCGCCAUUCCUCCAAAGAAAACACAAAUCGGUUGAAGGCAUACUCCAUCAAGUGGUAUCAUGAGCCUAGGUUCUUCAAGAGCUAAGUGUGCCUUCUUCUUUUCAUUUUAAUUCUGUUUUUGUCUUAAUUCCUUGUUGUUCAUCUUUUUCCUUAAUGUCUU
RNAcentral lists this long non-coding RNA (241 nucleotides) under Phaseolus vulgaris (common bean). Its description in RNAcentral is "long non-coding RNA (PVUL_LNC001696)". The record is from RNAcentral. Lineage: Eukaryota; Viridiplantae; Streptophyta; Magnoliopsida; Fabales; Fabaceae.